Molecule: ribosomal RNA, 440 nt
Filed under: uncultured bacterium
Lineage: Bacteria
Description: bacterial SSU rRNA
Rfam family: Bacterial small subunit ribosomal RNA
Source: RNAcentral
AACGCGAAGAACCUUACCUGGGCUCGAAAUGCAGGAGACCGGGGUAGAAAUAUCCUUUCCCCGCAAGGGGCUGCUGUAUAGGUGCUGCAUGGCUGUCGUCAGCUCGUGUCGUGAGAUGUUGGGUUAAGUCCCGCAACGAGCGCAACCCUCAUCCCUAGUUGCCACCGGGUAAUGCCGAGCACUCUAGUGAAACCGCCCCGGAUAACGGGGAGGAAGGUGGGGAUGACGUCAAGUCCUCAUGGCCUUUAUGUCCAGGGCUACACACGUGCUACAAUGGUCGGUACAAACCGUCGCAAAGCCGCAAGGUGGAGCUAAUCGGAAAAAGCCGGCCUCAGUUCGGAUUGGAGUCUGCAACUCGACUCCAUGAAGCUGGAAUCGCUAGUAAUCGCAGAUCAGAACGCUGCGGUGAAUACGUUCCCGGGCCUUGUACACACGGCUAC